Long non-coding RNA from Mercurialis annua (annual mercury), 1027 nucleotides. RefSeq lists it as uncharacterized. The transcript has 3 exons. The record is from RefSeq and is a predicted model, not a curated record. Lineage: Eukaryota; Viridiplantae; Streptophyta; Magnoliopsida; Malpighiales; Euphorbiaceae.
GUGAUUGUGAAAAUGUUGAUGAAUUCCGAGGUCGUAUUAAAAAUUGACACGACAUUAGUUGCGGAAUUGGACUAAAUUGUAAAGGAAAGUUGUUGAGUUAAUUUGGUACUUUAGCCAUUAAGUGUCCACCAUAUUAUCCACUAGAAUUAUUAUCUUCUUCAUUUUAUAAUAAACAUAAAGAAGCCUCCAAACCCUCUCCUAGAAGCUCCUAUUGCCGAACACUCACCUCCACUCCCAUCUUCACCAAAUUCUCACCAAAACUCACAAUUUUUGAAGGCAAAUCAUUCAUUGAUAAAAGACUCGGCGAGUCGACUACCAACGGAACACGGUACUUAAAGAACGUGAUAUGACCGUAGCUUUUGGAUAGAAAACUUGUUAUGUUUCAGGUGUAUAAUAUCGAAUGUAACGGACUUCUAUCCUUGUUCCAGAAGUCCGCGUGUACAGAAAGAAGGAACCAAUCAGUAGUGCUGCAGUAGUCGAGUCCUAGAGUGUAAUUAUGUUUUUUCAAACGGUUUUAAAUAUUUUGUUUAUACUCUGAUAUGUAUAAAGGCUUUAGACUGCGCUUUAAAACCGUUUAUAUAUAUAUGAGAAACAGGGCAUUGCUUGAUAUGAGAUAUCGCUUUGUAAGACCCUGAUUUCUAAAGAUUGUUUUGUAUCGUUUAAAGAAGUUUUAUAAAAAUGUUUUGAGAAUGUUUCGCGAAAAAUUUAUAGUGAUUUUUAGGCUUGCUACGGGUUUCGGAGCUACCACUCCCAUUCCCUAGCGCCGGUCGCGGCCCUCAAUUUUGGGUCGUGACAAAGGUGGUAUCAGAGCAAAGGAUGGGAGGUUCGGCUGGUGAGCGGGGCUCCCGGGACCGUUCCGAUUCUAGGGAACUCUCACUCAUGAUCUGUGACGAAGUGAGGCUCUCCGCCCUAGAGCGUAUGGUAAUGCGUGCUCUGAUAGGUACAUAUGGAUGUCACCCUAUGGGAUAGGACGGAGUCCAUAUCGGUUACGACCGCACCUGAAAAAAAGGUGGUAUCAGAGCAAUGG